Molecule: long non-coding RNA, 3744 nt
Filed under: Gossypium barbadense (sea-island cotton)
Lineage: Eukaryota; Viridiplantae; Streptophyta; Magnoliopsida; Malvales; Malvaceae
Description: long non-coding RNA (GBAR_LNC016627)
Source: RNAcentral
UAAUAAAAUAGUAAUAAUAAAAUUUUAAAUUUUUUUUAAAUUUACAUUUUAACCAUUGUACUUUUUGAAAUUUACAUUUUGACCCCAAACUUUUCUAAAAUUUACAUUUUGACCCCAAAAUUUUCUAAAACUACAUUUUGACCCUUAAACUUUCUCAAAAUUUCACUUUAACCCCUAAACUCUCAGGAAAUUACAUUUUGGCCCGUAUUUUUGCUAAAAUUUCACUUUUGCCCCAAAAGCUUUGCAUCCUAUGCAAUUUGGUCCUCCUGGACUUGUCAAAUCGCCACAAUGGCAGCCGAGCGUACCCCUCCCCAGCCGAGCUACUCCAACAGCCUCCCUAGGCUAUAAUGGCUCCCCUGCAACCUGAAAACAAAAUUGAAAGUAUUUAAAAGAGGGGGAAGGAAGAAAUAGAGAGGGAGAGAAAAGGGGGGUUCAAAAUUUUUUGGCAACCAAAGCAAAAAAAAAAAUAGCAGAAAAUUCCAGCAGCAAAAAAAACACUCCCAUUAGCCAAUCCCACGCUCACCGCCAUCGUUGCACCACCACCGGUGUUGCUCCACCGCCGGCACCUACAACAAAUCAAACACAACACACAACACACAACAAGCAACAAGCAACCAAAAAGCAAGAAAAAGACAGUAAAAAACAGCAGCAAAAAAUAAAAAAUAGUGAGAAAUUUUUGGUCUUCUUCGUGAGCCACCGAGGGAGGAGAAGAGCCAAGGACGAGCGUUGCGGCGGCGCUUUCAACCUUGGGGUUGCCGAGAAAAGAAAUAGAAGAGAAAGAAAAGAGAGGAAAGGGAAAGAGAAGAGAAAAAGGAAAAGAAGAGGAGAGAACGCCGAGACUAGCGCCACCGAACGGAGGAGUCGACGGCGGCAGUGGACAACGGAGGAGAAGCGGCGGCUGGGGCUCAAAAGAAAGAAAAAGUAAAGGGAAGACGAAGAAGAAAGGAGAAAGAAAAAAGAAAAUAAAAAAGAAUAAAAGCAGUAGCCCAAACCCAACAAGUUUAUCAAAAAAGAGAGAAGAAAAAAUCUGCAGCAAGCCACAUUGUUAGCAGGCCAAUCCGGCGGCCCAACUCCCAGCUGGCCCAAUUCGCAGCAAAAAAGGGAAAAGGGCUUGUCUUUCAAGCCCAUAACUUUGGGCUUUGGUAAAUUUUUUUAAUCUAUUUUAUUUUAUUUAAUGUAUUUAAAUGGUGUUUUAUUUAAUUUAAAUUAGUAUGUUUAAAAAUAGUUUUUAUAAAUGUUAUUAUGUUAUUUUAAUUGCAUAUUUAAAAAUAAUAAUAAUAAUAUUUUAGUGCAUAAGGCAAUGAACCGAUUUAGCAUCGAGUCAUCGAAUUCAUCGCUAUGUUGGGUGGAUAUCGAUAGCUCGUGUUAAAGUCGGGACGCUCUUUUAAAAAUAAAAAAUAUUCAAAAAUCUUCGUAUUUUAAAAAAAAAUUCUCGUAUUUUAAUAAAAUCCCGAUUAAAUAUUAAAUUGAAUCGUUUUGACACUAAUUCGUCGAUUUCGUUGCCAUGUUGGGGUGAAAAUCAUCGAUUAGUGUUAAAUACGGUACGUUUUUAAAAAAAUAAAAAAAUAAAAAUGAAAAAUUCGUGUUUCAAAUCUUAUUACUCGUAUUUCAAAAUUUUCGACUUUUCGCAUUUUCAAGAGUUUUCGUGUUUCAAAGGAAAUUUCUGCGUUUUAAAAGAAAAAAUUCGUAUUUCAAAAAUUGUCAUGUUUUCAAAAUUGUCGUGUUUUAAAAAUUCUAGCGUUUUCAAUAAUUUUCGUGUUUUCAAAAAUUCUCGUAUUUCAAAAACUUUCUUGUUUUCAGAAAAAAAAAUUUCCCUGUUUUAUAAAUUUCCGUGUUUUCAAAAAUUCUAGUAUUUCAAAAUAAAAUUUUAUGUUUUAAAAAUUUUCUGUGUUUUUUUUUAAAUUUCCCGUGUUUUCAAAAAUUCCCUUAUUUUAAAAACUUUCUUGUUUUUCAAAAAAAUUUCCCUGUUUUAUAAAUUUUCGUGUUUUCAAAAAUUCUCGUGUUUUUAAAAUUUUUGGUGAUAUAAAAAAAAAUUUCCUGUUUUCAAAGAAAAUUUCAUGUUUCAAAAAUCCUCGUGUUUCAAAAAAUUCCGUGUUUCAAAAUUUUUGCGUUCUCAAAAAUUUCUCGUUUUUCAAAAAUUGUCAUGUUUCGCAAAUUUUCGUGUUGUAAAAAUUUUCAGGUUUUCAGAAAUUUUCGUGUUUCUAAAAAAUUCUCGUGUUUCACAAAAAUUCCGUGUUUUCAAAAAAAAAUGGUGUUUCAAAAUUCUUGUGUUUUCAAAACAAGAGAUUCUCGUGUUUCAAUCGAAUCACGAUUAAAUAUUAAAUUGAACUCAUAUUUUAGAAAAUUAAGACAGCGCGUGUUUGACGAGAUACCAAUUUUGGGUGUCGCGAGGGUGUUAAUACCUUCCUCGCGCGUAACCGACUCCCGAACCCUAAUUUUCUCUGGAUUUUGACGUGGACCUAAAAUCGACUCUUUUUUAGAAAAUUUGAAAAAUAAUUUUUCUUUUAAAAAAAAAAGAAUUUAUUUGGUGUCCGAUCACACCUAGAAAAAGAUCGGUGGCGACUCCCUUUUUAAAUGAAAUCGGAAUUCCGUUUUCAAAUUUUCAAUAAUUAUUUCGACUAGCGCCCGUGCUCAAAUUUUUAGGUCGCUACAGCUGGCGACUCCGCUGGGGACUUUUUUUUUUGAGAGUCGAGUCUGAUGUUAAACGCGUGUUGUCAAAAUUUUCAAAAUUUCUUGUUCAAAUUAAUUUUUAAUCGUGAUCCUUGAAUUUUAUUUUUUUUAAAAGUCACGCAUUUGCAUUCGAUUUUUAAAUUAAUAAUUUUCUAACGUGUUUUAUUUUUCUAUUUUUUUUGUCAGCUCUAAGUUUUACGGUUUUUUAGUUUGUUUUUUUUAGAAAAAUAAAAAGGUUUGUGAGUUUCUCUCCACACACCGUGCACUUGCAUUUUUUGCAUAACAUGGGCUCUUUACCCGAGCUCCGUCCGUUUAAGCGGAAGUAAACGCUACGCCUUCGUGAGUUAACUCGUCCCUCCGCAUAGGCUAGUAAAUUACUUCCGGGUUACAUAUGACUUAUGCUUUCGUGAGUUAACUUGUCCCUCCGCAUAGGCAUAAGUAAAUGUAAUCCCUCGAAUUGAGCUCGCAAGCCCAUGAUGGGUGAUAACCGAGGCUCCAUACUAACCUUAGUAGGUGACAGUAUGGACAAUUCAAGUACCUCUUUAGAACCGAAACCGCAUAUAGUGAACCGUACGAGCCACUUGAGUAGAGCCAUACCGAACCUCUGUCCGUUUGAUAGUUACCAAAAUAAGUACACGGGAGAAACGCCUCUUUCCUUUUAUUUCUUUUACAUUUACACUUAUUUGCAAAUGAAGUGAGUCUGUUUAAAUUGGGUCGGAUAGAAGGUCUGAUGGUAUGUGGGGUAGGUUUCUUGUAAAGUGUGUUGGGGCAAAAAAAAUGUGGGUCUGUUCCACCAAAUUGCAUGAUUGAAUAGCUUAAUUUGUUAAAUUUUCCAUAGUCUUUAUUAUUCUUUUUAUAUUUAUUGUGAUCUCUAACCAAGGUUAUCUGUUUUUCAUUUUAUUUUUCAUCAUGCAUCGUAGACAUCUCAUUAGGAAGGUGUUGGUUAAAUAUUGGUUGCCAAAAACGGGUUUCUGAUGGAGGAGUCAAUUACACGAGUAACCGAGAAAAAUGCCGUAGUCCGAGAUUGGUCUUUGAAGACUCAAAAAGUGAAAGGGGAUAGUUUAAAGGAAAGAU